UCUGUAUUUGCAAAUGUGUUCUCGCCUCCGCUAUAAACCAGUACAACCCUGCCCGGCCUUGCCUCCGUAGCCGGGGGGUUGCAGGAGGUCAUAGAUAUGUUAUUCUGAGGAUUUGGGAGGCACAUACCAGGCACACCGGGGCGUCUUCUGCGUUGGGGGGGGGGCGGGAAGGUGCGUCAAGUAAGGUCAGUUAAACAAGAAUACAACUUCCGAUCACCACAMAAUAGUGGACUCCCUUGGGGACCCUUCCCCACGGCUCUUGCAAUCGUGCUUCUGACCUAUCAACUAGACGGCAGCCUAAGGGACAUGCUAUGGUGACAACGGUA
Molecule: ribosomal RNA, 326 nt
Filed under: uncultured myxomycete
Lineage: Eukaryota; Evosea; Eumycetozoa
Description: partial small subunit ribosomal RNA
Source: RNAcentral